Molecule: long non-coding RNA, 1617 nt
Organism: Pan troglodytes (chimpanzee)
Lineage: Eukaryota; Metazoa; Chordata; Mammalia; Primates; Hominidae
Exons: 5
Source: RefSeq, a predicted model, not a curated record
AGAAUUAAGAGCUUGGGAGACACUCAGGAGGAAGCAGAGGGGAGAGGAAAUGCUGCCUUUGGAGCCAACAACUAUGGAUGUGUUGUCCAGAGGAAACCUGUGGAUCAAGCAAGGAUGCCUACAAAAAGACUAAUUUCCCAGUAAUCCAACUUAUUCCAAACACUCCACCCACAAGGCAGCAAGUGAGGGAAAAAAUAGAAUUCUGCUUGAAGAUGCUUUUCAGUCAACUCUCUCUAGCUCAUAAACCAGCGCUUCUCCAAGAGUGUUAUGAACCCUGCACCCUCCUUGUCAAUGCUGAUUUCUGCACCCAUCUCCCAGUUACCAUCUGGAAUAGAAUCCAGUAGUGAUCCACCAAUGGACAAUUUUUGCUAUGAAGGAGGAAAGAGAGGACAGAUUUGAUUACAACAAAAGCAUCCCAAGAAUGUGUCCUGCAUGAGCUCUUCAGGCUGUGAAAUCUUGAACUUCUACACCCAUCCUUGGCUGGCUUUUUCCAUGUGAGGCCAUAUAGAGGUACUACCACCCUUGCCCUGCUUCAGUCCUCCUCUCGCCCGCCUGAGUUUCAAGUGCAAUGGAAAUGUGCUUAGUUGAUGGUGCCAACCCCUACCUGCACAGCCACAAGGUAGCUGCACAGAGGUGACCCAUGCAAUACAUUCAAUCAACACUGAGCCCUUAUUAACCACUUCAACUUUCUACCUAACCAACAGUGUCAUCUGUGGCAGCAAAACCAAUUGCAUAAAGUCUUUUUUUUUUUUUUUUUUUGAGAUGGAGUCUUGCUGUGUCACCGAGGCUGGAGUGCAGUGGCGCUAUCUUGGUUCACUGCAAGCUCUGCCUCCUGGGUUCACACCAUUCUCCUGCCUCAGCCUCCCGAGUAGCUGGGACUACAGGGCCCACCACCACACCCGGCUAAUUUUUUGUAUUUUUAGUAGAGACGGGGUUUCACCAUGUUAACCAGGAUGGUCUCGAUAUCCUGACCUCGUGAUCUGCCCGCCUUGGCCUCCCAAAGUGCUGGGAUUACAGGUGUGAGCCAAGGCGCCUGGCCGCAUAAAGUCUUUUCUAGUGGAUUCUUCAGCUUCCUGUUCUCUACUGAUGGCCAUAGACUCUUGGGUGGGCAGAGGAGUGGGAAGGAGUUAUUGCUAAGGGUCCAUGAACCUGUAACUCCUCAUCAUUCCACCCCACUAGGAUUUAAUGAAUCCUUCCAAUGUGUCAGACUGUGUGGAGUAUGCUUUGUGUAAUAGGUUGAACCAUAGAAACUGCCAUUCUUGUAGGUAAAAAAUGGUUGUUUAUGUAAGCAAUUUUCCAUGAUCAACCUAAUACAUGCCAUCUUACUUCAUCUUUGAAGUAACUUAUGAGGUAUUACCACUGUCAUUUUCCAGAAGAAGAAAGCUGAGGCUCAGAGUGAUCAAGAAUACCCAGCCAGAACGUGGCAUCUGGGACUUCUGUCUCCACUCUGUUACCCACCAGCACCCUUGGGCCCUAUUGCUUGGCUAGAUGGGCACUCUGCAUGUAUCAGGCAUUGUCUGUCACCUGAGUCACUACAUGUAUGACAUCAUAUGUCUAUUACCAGUCUCAAAUAUACACUAAGAAAAUAAGAUUUCAUUAAAGUAUUUUCUAAAUUCA